UGGUUAAAAAGCUCGUAGUUGGAUCUCAACAGCCUUGAAGCGGUUAACUUUGUAGUUUUACUGCUUUAUAGGCUGUGCUUUUGCUGGAGGUUUAGGGGUGCUCUUGAUCGAGUGUCUCUGGAUGCCAGCAGGUUUACUUUGAAAAAAUUAGAGUGCUCAAAGCAGGCUAAAAUGCCUGAAUAUUCGUGCAUGGAAUAAUAGAAUAGGAUGUCGAUCCUAUUUUGUUGGUUUUCGGGACUCGACAUAAUGAUAAAUAGGGACAGUCGGGGGCAUUUGUAUUCAAACGACAGAGGUGAAAUUCUUGGACCGUUUGAAGACAAACUACUGCGAAAGCAUUUGCCAAGAAUGUUUUCGUUAAUCAAGAACGAAAGUUAGAGGUUCGAAGGCGAUUAGAUACCGCCCUAGUUCUAACCAUAAACGAUGCCAGCUAGCGAUCUGCCUGCGUUUUUACUGUAGACUGGGCAGGAAGCUUCCGGGAAACCGAAGCAUUUGGGUUCCAGGGGAAGUAUGGUUGCAAAGCUGAAACUUAAAGGAAUUGACGGAAGGGCACCACCAGGAGUGGAGCCUGUGGCUUAAUUUGACUCA
Molecule: ribosomal RNA, 585 nt
Filed under: uncultured marine eukaryote
Lineage: Eukaryota
Description: SSU rRNA
Rfam family: Eukaryotic small subunit ribosomal RNA
Source: RNAcentral